Molecule: ribosomal RNA, 360 nt
Filed under: Streptomyces sp. 41208
Lineage: Bacteria; Bacillati; Actinomycetota; Actinomycetes; Kitasatosporales; Streptomycetaceae
Description: bacterial SSU rRNA
Rfam family: Bacterial small subunit ribosomal RNA
Source: RNAcentral
UGGUGAGGUAACGGCUCACCAAGGCGACGACGGGUAGCCGGCCUGAGAGGGCGACCGGCCACACUGGGACUGAGACACGGCCCAGACUCCUACGGGAGGCAGCAGUGGGGAAUAUUGCACAAUGGGCGAAAGCCUGAUGCAGCGACGCCGCGUGAGGGAUGACGGCCUUCGGGUUGUAAACCUCUUUCAGCAGGGAAGAAGCGAAAGUGACGGUACCUGCAGAAGAAGCGCCGGCUAACUACGUGCCAGCAGCCGCGGUAAUACGUAGGGCGCAAGCGUUGUCCGGAAUUAUUGGGCGUAAAGAGCUCGUAGGCGGCUUGUCACGUCGGUUGUGAAAGCCCGGGGCUUAACCCCGGGUCU